This 772-nucleotide long non-coding RNA is filed under the name Anser brachyrhynchus (Pink-footed goose). RNAcentral describes it as "lncRNA (ENSABRG00000009560.1)". Lineage: Eukaryota; Metazoa; Chordata; Aves; Anseriformes; Anatidae. The record is from RNAcentral.
GGCUUACUUGGGUCCACGUUUCAACAAUCAUCGAGCAUCCAGAGCCAUGGCUGGGCUGUGAGGAGCUGCGAGCAUCCCUCCCUUCCCCUCCCCUCCCUUCGUGUGGUGUUUUGUCUAGGUUUGCUUGUAAGAUGGAAGCUGGUCAUACCAGCAAGUGAGGUCAAGCCUGAAACACACUCAUGGUGUGGGUCCUGUCUACAGCUUUCCAGGAAGGCAGCAAGAGAGAGGAAAGCUCGAUGCAGACGUGCAUGCCCUUCACAUGCUGCUGAUGGCAUAAUUUACCCGGCAGCUGUCACAGCUGUUGCCCCUUAGCCCCAAAUACCUGGGCUGGCAACGUCUGUGUGGGGGGAGCUGGGGCCAGAGCUUUGGGGCAGCUGCGUUCAGACGCAGCUCAGGCUCUGGGCUGGGAAAGCUGCGCCUUUGCUCCGUGCUCAGCGCGCUGGGGUUACGGCUCUGCAGGGAAGAACAAGCUCCCAGGGCAAAGCUGCCGCGUGGUUUGUGCUGCCCAACCUUUGGAGUCCCAGGGGACUCCUUGGAGAGGCCGCAUGCAGGAAACCUCCUAUUAGUUAUUACGUGGUUACCAUUUGGUUAGUAUUUGCUAUUAACCUAUUAGCCCCUUUACCCUAUUCCUGAUGGAUUCCUGGAAGACUCUGGCAGCUUGUACACGUGAGCAUUUAAUCUCUUCUCCUGCCCUAACAGCUUUUGAGAUGGUUGGAGAGCACGAGCUGCUCAAAUACCGUGAGCAGAAAAAUCAGCCACACGUAACAUUUCC